UACGUAGGGUGCAAGCGUUGUCCGGAAUUAUUGGGCGUAAAGAGCUUGUAGGCGGUUUGUCGCGUCUGCUGUGAAAUUUUCGGGGCUCAACCCCGAACUUGCAGUGGGUACGGGCAGACUAGAGUGUGGUAGGGGAGACUGGAAUUCCUGGUGUAGCGGUGAAAUGCGCAGAUAUCAGGAGGAACACCGAUGGCGAAGGCAGGUCUCUGGGCCAUAACUGACGCUGAGAAGCGAAAGCAUGGGGAGCGAACAGG
This 254-nucleotide ribosomal RNA is filed under the name uncultured bacterium. RNAcentral describes it as "partial 16S ribosomal RNA". It matches the Rfam family "Bacterial small subunit ribosomal RNA", at positions 524 to 776 of the family's 1533-position model. The record is from RNAcentral.